UGUUCACGCCUGGGAUCGAACCAGGGACCUUGCGCGUGUGAAGCGCUACACCACGGAAAC
This 60-nucleotide transfer RNA is filed under the name Cordylochernes scorpioides. Its description in RNAcentral is "tRNA-Ser". Lineage: Eukaryota; Metazoa; Arthropoda; Arachnida; Pseudoscorpiones; Chernetidae. The record is from RNAcentral.